RNAcentral lists this ribosomal RNA (905 nucleotides) under Staphylococcus argenteus. RNAcentral describes it as "bacterial SSU rRNA". It matches the Rfam family "Bacterial small subunit ribosomal RNA", at positions 99 to 990 of the family's 1533-position model. The record is from RNAcentral. Lineage: Bacteria; Bacillati; Bacillota; Bacilli; Caryophanales; Staphylococcaceae.
CGGACGGGUGAGUAACACGUGGAUAACCUACCUAUAAGACUGGGAUAACUUCGGGAAACCGGAGCUAAUACCGGAUAAUAUUUUGAACCGCAUGGUUCAAAAGUGAAAGACGGUCUUGCUGUCACUUAUAGAUGGAUCCGCGCUGCAUUAGCUAGUUGGUAAGGUAACGGCUUACCAAGGCAACGAUGCAUAGCCGACCUGAGAGGGUGAUCGGCCACACUGGAACUGAGACACGGUCCAGACUCCUACGGGAGGCAGCAGUAGGGAAUCUUCCGCAAUGGGCGAAAGCCUGACGGAGCAACGCCGCGUGAGUGAUGAAGGUCUUCGGAUCGUAAAACUCUGUUAUUAGGGAAGAACAUAUGUGUAAGUAACUGUGCACAUCUUGACGGUACCUAAUCAGAAAGCCACGGCUAACUACGUGCCAGCAGCCGCGGUAAUACGUAGGUGGCAAGCGUUAUCCGGAAUUAUUGGGCGUAAAGCGCGCGUAGGCGGUUUUUUAAGUCUGAUGUGAAAGCCCACGGCUCAACCGUGGAGGGUCAUUGGAAACUGGAAAACUUGAGUGCAGAAGAGGAAAGUGGAAUUCCAUGUGUAGCGGUGAAAUGCGCAGAGAUAUGGAGGAACACCAGUGGCGAAGGCGACUUUCUGGUCUGUAACUGACGCUGAUGUGCGAAAGCGUGGGGAUCAAACAGGAUUAGAUACCCUGGUAGUCCACGCCGUAAACGAUGAGUGCUAAGUGUUAGGGGGUUUCCGCCCCUUAGUGCUGCAGCUAACGCAUUAAGCACUCCGCCUGGGGAGUACGACCGCAAGGUUGAAACUCAAAGGAAUUGACGGGGACCCGCACAAGCGGUGGAGCAUGUGGUUUAAUUCGAAGCAACGCGAAGAACCUUACCAAAUCUUGACAUCCU